ACAGGCAUAGCGCAAUGGAAGCGCGUCUGACUUCGAAUCAGAAGGUUGAGGGUUCGAGUCCCUUUGUCUGUA
RNAcentral lists this transfer RNA (72 nucleotides) under Mitosporidium daphniae. It matches the Rfam family "tRNA". Rfam says of the family: Transfer RNA (tRNA) molecules are approximately 80 nucleotides in length. Lineage: Eukaryota; Fungi; Microsporidia. The record is from Rfam by way of RNAcentral.